Molecule: long non-coding RNA, 2171 nt
Organism: Mus musculus (house mouse)
Lineage: Eukaryota; Metazoa; Chordata; Mammalia; Rodentia; Muridae
Product: predicted gene, 53689
Exons: 2
Source: RefSeq, a predicted model, not a curated record
UGCUGCACACACAUACAGACGGCAUGUGUGCACAUUCGGAGCUCCCGGGUAGCCCGUAGUCCCACCGGCGCCGCUUCUCCGUCACCCACCCCUCUUCCCCCUUUUGUCCUUCUUCCUCCCAUCCAGGCUGCUUCCAGAACCUCUCGGUCCCCGGAAUCAAGGGGAGCCCACCCUAACUGCGUUCCUGCAGCACAACAAGAAAAGCUCCUUCCAAAUGGGGAGGACCAGGGUAGGGGGAUGGGGAGAGGGUGCGCGGUUCUCUUCUUGCCACUUCCUUGUAUGGACAGUGGGGGACUCCAAAGCCCGGCUCGGGAGAGGCCCGAAGCUUGGUACCCGGACGUGCAGGGGGAAGCACAAAGGGGCCGACAAGAAGGGGGUGGGGAGGCCUGCCGGUGCAAUGAAAUGGAGUGGGCUGAAGCCUCAGGGAGCGAAUCGAGGGCGGCUGGUAGGUGAAACUGCUGCAGACGUCCUCGGAAGCUAAGCUCAGUCCCCCAAAUUGCAAAGAGGGGAGGAAGAGACUGGGUUCCGACUUCCUCGCCCUGGCUCCCCCCCACCCCCCGGCCCCCAGUCCCUGGGACGGCAGCGUCCUCCCCACGGGCCGCGAGAGGGGAGCAACCCCUCAGCCCCGGCCCAGCGGCUGGCUGCACAGUGGAUCCCGGCUCCGGGGGUCAGGCCUCGGCGGGGGCCUAGGCCCACAGGCUAAAGCUGGCGCUGGCGACCGCUGGUCCGGCCGGGAAGGCUAGCGGGCGCUGCCAUCCCGGGCUUGGGGGACCGGAGGGGGGGGUGAGAGGUUAGGUGAGGUUGUGGUUCGUGAGGUGACUCUGGGGAGGAUGAUGGGGGGUGGUCCCCGGGCUCCGCCUCUCGCCGCCGCUGCCGUCUGCGUCCCGGCUGCCGCGCACUUGGCGCAAACUUACCGCGAGCGCCCGCAAAGCCACCCGCGCAGGCGCCCCGGGAUCGCCGCUCGCCGCGCGCAACCGCAGUGACAGCCGGCGGCCUGGCUCCCGCGCAGCCGCGGUGAUGGGGUACCCCCCGGCGCGCAGCCGCGCUGGCAUUCGCCCGGAGCCCAGAAGCCCCGCCUCUCCGCCGUGCGCCGGCGUACUGCGAUUGGAGGGCGGAACCUGAGGCCUCGCUUAGGCGCCUGGGAAAGCGCGUAGGGGUCACGGCGCAGCCGCAGGAACUGGAAGACGCAUCACCCAUUGGUGUUUGUGUGCGGACCACGGGCUCUGGUCCCGCGCAGGCGUGUUGGGUCGCCACCCUCCCGUCCCCUCACACAGCCGCCUCACGCGCAGGCGCGUUGUACCUGGAGGCCUGCACAAAAAAAAAAAAAAAAAAAAAAAGCUUCUCCUUUCGCCAUUUUGGUAAUGAGAUUUGGGGCUACCAUGCCCUUGGAGUCCUCAGUCACGACCAAGGAGGAGCGUGGGAUGCUGUAUGGAGCUGGUAGCUUUCGGCUGCAGCAGUACCCAUAUGGAUGGUGUAGUGGACUGUUUGUCUCCAGUGUCAGGUGUGUCUGGACUAGGCCGCCAUAUUGGUAAAGAGGGAAAAAAAAAGCAUUGCGACAAAAAAAAAAAAAAAAAAAGACGCUUUUGGUGGCAGAUCGGAUGACUGCUCUUUCCACUUCAUUUCCACUCUCAGCACCUAAUUUUAGCACGAGCAUUGCUGCCUUGGGUCCCGAUGGAACCCAAGAUAUUUCAAGCUGUUCUUACCCUCUCUUAACCACUGUCCCUGUGAACUACUCCGAAAGAGGAAGUCAAAAGCCCAAACAGUCCGUAAUCCUGACAACGCCCAGCUACCUGCCUACAGCUGACUUCAAUCCCCAUCUUGCAACGCGCAGAGUUCAAAGGGUGAACGGGACCGCUUUGCACUCUGGUAGUUAGACUCGCGAUGGAUCUGAUGGAUUGUGGGAGUUGUAGUUCAGCCUUCAGGCGCUGCACUGGACCAUAGGAUGUACACGAAGAAAAGCCUGCCGGGAAAGGAUACUUUUGAGAGCUGCCGUAUUGCACACUGGGGUUUGUAGUUUGAGCCCCUCACCUCGCAUUCUGAGCAGAGAGACAUACCUCUCUUUGGGUGUGCGCUGUUAUGCCCUUGUUAUCACUUUCCAAUAUGGACAGAUACUCUGCCUAAUUGCGAAUGAAUGAACCCCACUAGGCAUUAAUUAACACUGGUGACAUGCA